AUCGGCAUCAGUCCAGACUAGUACAAGCAGCCACACACACACACACGUGCAUGCACGUCGCUAUAUAAGUGCAAUAAUCUUGGACGCGACGUUAAACCCCAUUUCACCUCACCUCACCUCAAAGGUAUGUCAGUGUUUCAGGAAAGUGAGUGGGACGACAAUAAAACCCUGCAGCUAUGCACGGAUGCUGCUUGCAGUGCAGGCUUUGGUGCAUAUUUUCAAGGACACUGGGUCUCAGGCAAGUGGUCCCGUCAUUGAGUUGAGGACGGUACCACUCGGGAUAUGACAUUACUGGAGCUAUUUCCAAAUUGCGUUGUCUAUUCGAAUGUUGGGUGAUGCCGGUGAUUGUCUUCAGCUGGAUUCAUCGUCAGCAUUAGGGCGGUCGGGUAGCCUAGCGGUUACAGCCUUCGCCCGUCACGCCGAAGACCCGGGUUUCGAUUCCCAAAAUGGGUACAAUGGGUGAAGCAGUGAUAAUACUGGACAAUUGCUAAAAGCGGCGUAAAAUCAUACUCCCUCACUCACUGACACGACAGACCGCCGUCAUAUAGCUGGAAUAUUGCUGAGUGCAGCGUUAAACAACAAACCAACCAACUACCAACCUCGGCGGGAUACGACCUUCACGCUGCGUCCUGUACUUGGAGAUUGUGGACGUCACCUUUAUUUGUACUUGGUUUAUCUGUACAUUAUUAUGAUAAAAUUGUACCAAGUUCGUUGUAGAUCCUGGAGGUAUGUGCGUUAUGCAUGUGCCUGAUUUCAAUAUACAUUAUACAUCUUUUCCAUAUUUGACUUAAUGCCUAAUUAUAUUUACUUUAUUUAAAUAUGUUUAAAUUCAAAAUUGGGGAUAUACACAAUGAUAUGCAUUUUAUCAUAAACAAGUUUACAUUCGAAACAUGUUUAAAAUCUAAAUUCUAAACAUGUUUUACUUCUAAGCAUGGUUGGAAUAUGGGGAUGUUUUAGAUUUUUAGGUGGUGUUUAGGCUGUGAGACGAUAGUUUGUUUUCAUACGUUUAGACCCAAAACGUGUCCAGACAGAAGACACCAAAUAUGUAUUCCGUUUAGGAUUUAAAUACAUUCCUGCACAUGCUUAGAUCUAAACAUGUCUUGUAUGUGUUUACAUUCUAAACAAAUUUCGUGCAGUGUAUGUUGACGAAACACAUAUUUAUUAACUUCUUGAUAUAUAUCAGACGGAAAGGGAUUUUCAUGAUGCAAAAAAUAGCUGCUCCAUGUGAUGUGCGUGUGAAAUGUUCGUGGAUAUAUUUAUAGCUUCAUGAUCCGCGUUAUAAAUGUCACGAGAGUUCUAAUCAGAAAUAGAUUAGGUUGUCAAACCGGGUAACGAGGCCUUGGUGAAACCAUGUUUUGCCUUAUUGACUACCAACACGGACACUUUAUCUAGAAUACAGACGUAAACAUUGCAUGGUAACCAAUAUGCAACGAAAGUCUGUGUUGUGCAAGAUAAUAUUUAUACAAAGACAGUGCAGAGUAAUUCAUUAGCACGUUGCAGAGUGACAGUCUCUUCAAUCUUCAUUCUGCCUCUGAAUCAGUUAACAAUGUCAUAUCUUGAACAUGUGUCGUUAACGUUUCAAAUGUAUAACGAUCUGCGCAAACCUUUUAAAAGUAUAACGAUCUGCGCACGUUCAGCUUCCCAAAUUCGGAUGUUGGCUGCAUAACUCUCCAACAAGGA
Molecule: long non-coding RNA, 1680 nt
Organism: Haliotis rufescens (red abalone)
Lineage: Eukaryota; Metazoa; Mollusca; Gastropoda; Lepetellida; Haliotidae
Exons: 3
Source: RefSeq, a predicted model, not a curated record